Molecule: ribosomal RNA, 473 nt
Filed under: uncultured bacterium
Lineage: Bacteria
Description: bacterial SSU rRNA
Rfam family: Bacterial small subunit ribosomal RNA
Source: RNAcentral
ACUCCUACGGGAGGCAGCAGUAGGGAAUCUUCCACAAUGGGCGCAAGCCUGAUGGAGCAACACCGCGUGAGUGAAGAAGGGUUUCGGCUCGUAAAGCUCUGUUGUUAAAGAAGAACACGUAUGAGAGUAACUGUUCAUACGUUGACGGUAUUUAACCAGAAAGUCACGGCUAACUACGUGCCAGCAGCCGCGGUAAUACGUAGGUGGCAAGCGUUAUCCGGAUUUAUUGGGCGUAAAGAGGGUGCAGGCGGUUUUCUAAGUCUGAUGUGAAAGCCUUCGGCUUAACCGGAGAAGUGCAUCGGAAACUGGAUAACUUGAGUGCAGAAGAGGGUAGUGGAACUCCAUGUGUAGCGGUGGAAUGCGUAGAUAUAUGGAAGAACACCAGUGGCGAAGGCGGCUACCUGGUCUGCAACUGACGCUGAGACUCGAAAGCAUGGGUAGCGAACAGGAUUAGAUACACUGGUAGGAUAGCG